Molecule: transfer RNA, 74 nt
Filed under: Mycobacterium phage Finemlucis
Lineage: Duplodnaviria; Heunggongvirae; Uroviricota; Caudoviricetes; Vilmaviridae
Description: tRNA-Leu
Rfam family: tRNA
About the family: Transfer RNA (tRNA) molecules are approximately 80 nucleotides in length. Their secondary structure includes four short double-helical elements and three loops (D, anti-codon, and T loops).
Source: RNAcentral
GGUCCCGUAGCCCAAUUGGCAGAGGCGCAGGUUUUAGGUACCUGUCAGUGUGCGUUCGAGUCGCACCGGGACCA